Long non-coding RNA from Magallana angulata, 655 nucleotides. RefSeq lists it as uncharacterized. Lineage: Eukaryota; Metazoa; Mollusca; Bivalvia; Ostreida; Ostreidae. The record is from RefSeq and is a predicted model, not a curated record. The transcript is spliced from 3 exons.
UCUUGAUGGAGAACUUUGUAAAGUCUGGAAUUAGGGUUCGGUGACUCUGCAUCCGUGUAGGAGUCUACCAGCUGCACUUCACUCGGCCCGGGUUGCAAAAUCUUCAUUUGACUGCCCCUACGCUCAGCAUCGCUUAUUGUGAAUAUUCCAUCCUUCUGCUGCUGUACGACGUCCUGAAACUCUUCUUUACUCAGCCUUCUUAUAGGACAUAGACACUGUACUGGACUGGUGGUCCCUGUACUUUUCUGGCCCUUGUUGUGAGAGCUGCCAUGUCUUCUAAGAGGAACCCCCAUCUUUGAUGACUGAUGGAAAAGCCUCAUCACCUUCCAUUGCUUAAGAACCUCUUAUCUUAAUCACUAGCCAUUAAUCAGUGACCACCGUUAUCAAAGCUCCAAGAUGCGCAUGAUGCAACUUCCUGGGUGGUGCUGAGCCUGUUUGUCAACAUGUGGAACCCACGUGUAUUUGGGGGUAGGUAUGUUUACUCUCAAUUAUCUCUCUUAGAAACCGCUUAAGGCGUAAUUUUUCUGAUCUAAAAUUUUUCUUGAAGCAUUUAACUAGAAUUUCUCUUUCAUGAAUUAUAUGCUGAGAGUAUAGUUAAUUAAUUAACUGAAUUAAAGCUAUAUAGUAACAUAUAGUGAAAUUAAUUCCUUGUGUG